ACGGAAGGCAGCAGUGAGGAAUAUUGGUCAAUGGGCGGAAGCCUGAACCAGCCAAGUCGCGUGAAGGAAGAAGGUAUUAUGUAUUGUAAACUUCUUUAGCAGCAGAGAAAUAAGGGAGUCGUGACUCCUGAUGCUAGUAUGCUGAGAAUAAGCACCGGCUAACUCCGUGCCAGCAGCCGCGGUAAUACGGAGGAUGCGAGCGUUAUCCGGAUUUAUUGGGUUUAAAGGGUGCGCAGGCGGCACGUUAAGUCAGCGGUGAAAUGUCGGGGCUCAACCCGGGCACUGCCGUUGAAACUGGCGAGCUUGAGUACGGAUGAAGUCGGCGGAAUGUGAUGUGUAGCGGUGAAAUGCUUAGAUAUGUCACAGAACACCGAUUGCGAAGGCAGCUGACUAAUCCGCAACUGACGCUCAGGCACGAAAGCGUGGGGAUCGAACAGGAUUAGAUACCCUGGUA
RNAcentral lists this ribosomal RNA (454 nucleotides) under uncultured Porphyromonadaceae bacterium. RNAcentral's name for it is "partial 16S ribosomal RNA". It matches the Rfam family "Bacterial small subunit ribosomal RNA", at positions 341 to 792 of the family's 1533-position model. Lineage: Bacteria; Pseudomonadati; Bacteroidota; Bacteroidia; Bacteroidales; Porphyromonadaceae. The record is from RNAcentral.